UGUAAGCGUAUACCAAAGUUGUUGCAGUUAAAACGCUCGUAGUCGGAAUUUGGCAGUUCCGGAUGUGUGCACGUCGUGUGCGCACUUCGCGGGGAUUGCUUUUGUGGUCUUGCGUAGGAUGAGGCACUUUUAUUAGUGAACGUCCUCACGCAACCACUCUUUACUGUGAGAAAAUCAGAGUGCUCAAAGCAGGCAUUUGCCGUGAAUGUAUUAGCAUGGAAUAAUAGAAUAGGACUCGGUUCUAUUUUGUUGGUUUGUUGGGACUGAGUAAUGAUUAAGAGGGACAGUUGGGGGCAUUUGUAUUCCGGCGCUAGAGGUGAAAUUCUUAGAUUGCCGGAAGACAAACUGCUGCGAAAGCGUCUGCCAAGGAUGUUUUCAUUGA
RNAcentral lists this ribosomal RNA (382 nucleotides) under uncultured eukaryote. Its description in RNAcentral is "partial 18S ribosomal RNA". It matches the Rfam family "Eukaryotic small subunit ribosomal RNA", at positions 592 to 976 of the family's 1831-position model. The record is from RNAcentral.